This 262-nucleotide ribosomal RNA is filed under the name Peribacillus muralis. RNAcentral describes it as "Bacillus muralis partial 16S ribosomal RNA". It matches the Rfam family "Bacterial small subunit ribosomal RNA", at positions 518 to 779 of the family's 1533-position model. The record is from RNAcentral. Lineage: Bacteria; Bacillati; Bacillota; Bacilli; Caryophanales; Bacillaceae.
CGGUAAUACGUAGGUGGCAAGCGUUGUCCGGAAUUAUUGGGCGUAAAGCGCGCGCAGGUGGUUCCUUAAGUCUGAUGUGAAAGCCCACGGCUCAACCGUGGAGGGUCAUUGGAAACUGGGGAACUUGAGUGCAGAAGAGGAAAGUGGAAUUCCAAGUGUAGCGGUGAAAUGCGUAGAGAUUUGGAGGAACACCAGUGGCGAAGGCGACUUUCUGGUCUGUAACUGACACUGAGGCGCGAAAGCGUGGGGAGCAAACAGGAUU